GGGAUUCACGGAUCCAGAGUUUGAUUCUGGCUCAGAUUGAACGCUGGCGGCAGGCCUAACACAUGCAAGUMGAGCGGUACACAGGGAGCUUGCUCCUGGGUGACGAGCGGCGGACGGGUGAGUAAUGUCUGGGAAACUGCCUGAUGGAGGGGGAUAACUACUGGAAACGGUAGCUAAUACCGCAUAACGUCGCAAGACCAAAGAGGGGGACCUUCGGGCCUCUUGCCAUCAGAUGUGCCCAGAUGGGAUUAGCUAGUAGGUGGGGUAACGGCUCACCUAGGCGACGAUCCCUAGCUGGUCUGARAGGAUGACCAGCCACACUGGAACUGAGACACGGUCCAGACUCCUACGGGAGGCAGCAGUGGGGAAUAUUGCACAAUGGGCGCAAGCUGAUGCAGCCAUGCCGCGUGUAUGAAGAAGGCCUUCGGGUUGUAAAGUACUUUCAGCGGGGAGGAAGGCGAUAAGGUUAAUAACCUUGUCGAUUGACGUUACCCGCAGAAGAAGCACCGGCUAACUCCGUGCCAGCAGCCGCGGUAAUACGGAGGGUGCAAGCGUUAAUCGGAAUUACUGGGCGUAAAGCGCACGCAGGCGGUCUGUCAAGUCGGAUGUGAAAUCCCCGGGCUCAACCUGGGAACUGCAUUCGAAACUGGCAGGCUAGAGUCUUGUAGAGGGGGGUAGAAUUCCAGGUGUAGCGGUGAAAUGCGUAGAGAUCUGGAGGAAUACCGGUGGCGAAGGCGGCCCCCUGGACAAAGACUGACGCUCAGGUGCGAAASGUGGGGGAGCAAACAGGAUUAGAUACCCUGGUAGUCCACGCCGUAAACGAUGUCGACUUGGAGGUUGUGCCCUUGAGGCGUGGCUUCCGGAGCUAACGCGUUAAGUCGACCGCCUGGGGGAGUACGGCCGCAAGGUUAAAACUCAAAUGAAUUGACGGGGGCCGCACAAGCGGUGGAGCAUGUGGUUUAAUUCGAUGCAACGCGAAGAACCUUACCUACUCUUGACAUCARAGAMCUUCCAGAGAUGRAUUGGKGCYUYCGGAACYCUARAMAGGUSYGCAUGGCUGUCGUMACYCGUGUGUAAAUGUGGGUKAAGYCCGCACGAGGS
Molecule: ribosomal RNA, 1101 nt
Filed under: uncultured bacterium (human infant) L4dI
Lineage: Bacteria
Description: bacterial SSU rRNA
Rfam family: Bacterial small subunit ribosomal RNA
Source: RNAcentral